Molecule: ribosomal RNA, 262 nt
Filed under: uncultured Geobacter sp.
Lineage: Bacteria; Pseudomonadati; Thermodesulfobacteriota; Desulfuromonadia; Geobacterales; Geobacteraceae
Description: partial 16S ribosomal RNA
Source: RNAcentral
CCCUCCGUAUUACCGCGGCUGCUGGCACGGAGUUAGCCGGUGCUUCCUUUAGUGAUACCAUCAGAUCCUGCGACUAUUUAUCGCAGGACUUUUUUCUCACUCGACAGAGCUUUACAACCCGAAGGCCUUCUUCACUCACGCGGCGUUGCUGCGUCAGGGUUUCCCCCAUUGCGCAAAAUUCCUCACUGCUGCCUCCCGUAGGAGUCUGGACCGUGUUCCAGUUCCAGUGUGGCUGAUCAUCCUCUCAGACCAGCUAACCAUC